This 253-nucleotide ribosomal RNA is filed under the name uncultured bacterium. RNAcentral describes it as "partial 16S ribosomal RNA". It matches the Rfam family "Bacterial small subunit ribosomal RNA", at positions 524 to 776 of the family's 1533-position model. The record is from RNAcentral.
UACGUAGGGUGCGAGCGUUGUCCGGAAUUAUUGGGCGUAAAGAGCUUGUAGGCGGUUUGUCGCGUCUGCCGUGAAAGCCCAGGGCUUAACCCUGGGUCUGCGGUGGGUACGGGCAGACUAGAGUGUGGUAGGGGAGACUGGAAUUCCUGGUGUAGCGGUGAAAUGCGCAGAUAUCAGGAGGAACACCGGUGGCGAAGGCGGGUCUCUGGGCCGAUACUGACGCUGAGGAGCGAAAGCGUGGGGAGCGAACAGG